GGGAAGCAAUGCAAGCAACAAGCAAAUCUUGCAACAUUCUAGGCAAACCAGGUAUAACAUCCUGUGCCUCGACUUCCCUUCAUGUUACAUUAUUAACUGGAGUGUAAGGUAUACGUGAACAGCAGUAAGAACGGUGUAUGGAAGGUAAUGACAAAAUACACAACAAAUACUAAAAGCAAAUUGUGGGAAACUUGCCUCUCGUCCUCUUCUUCACCAAAAGAUAAUAGACUAGAUAACUGAAGUCUCACCCCAACAUCCCUGACACAGAUUUGUCUCUGCACUCAGAUCCCUUUGAGGUACAGGGUACCGUGACAACACAAGGUGCGUGGUGAGUGGAGAAAAUGAGCUCUGGUGUAAGAGCACCCUGAAGCUGGGCCCGGACGUAAAGUGCCCGGCCCCCUACGCCCUGGACUGAAGAGUAGCAGCACUCGGUGCUCAACUACUUGACAAAGUACUGUCCGCGGUGCACCCGGGGCACCUGCUCCUGGAAAUGAGGUUCUACGGAAGCACAGCCUUACCUGUUCGAUUACACCACGUGAGGGAGCCACAAAUGUGAAGACCCUCCCAUGAAUUAUGCCUCUGAGACAUUCAGAUGAAUGUCUGACGUGGAACGGCUUCACCAAUGAGCGUGGUUUCACAGGGCAGCCAAUCUGCCA
Chinchilla lanigera (long-tailed chinchilla) is the source of this 656-nucleotide long non-coding RNA. RefSeq lists it as uncharacterized. The transcript is spliced from 3 exons. The record is from RefSeq and is a predicted model, not a curated record. Lineage: Eukaryota; Metazoa; Chordata; Mammalia; Rodentia; Chinchillidae.